UUGGAUCUUGUCUUGGAGCUGGAUCACUGCCAUUAAGUUAAAUAAAUUUAUCAGAAGAAGUAAGAUAUAGAAGUGAAGAAGAAUAUUUUAUGUAAUAUAAAAUUAUGUAUGUAUAUAAUAGGUGUAUAUCAGAAUUCAUUGUAUCUUGUAAUUUACGUGCAAUAUGUUUUCCAUAGGACAAGUUACAAUUAGUUUCAAUCAGUUAGGAGCAGGACUCCUUGUUGGUACUGCGCUAGCGAUUAUACCUGACUAUACCUGAGGGUGUAAGAGCAUUAUUUACCGUGGAUGGUAUUACUAAUGAAAAAGGCAAUUUACAUACUUUAACUUGGAAUUAGUUUAGUACUUGGUUUAUGCUUUUAAUCGAUCAAUGUUCAGCCAGAAAAAGUGGAGGAAGACAAGAAAAGUAUUACAGCAACUUUAGGUCUUAUAGUAGAUGCUGCGGAGUUGCGUUGGGAGCUGCUGCUACUACAUCUCAAGCUGAUGUCGAAGUGUCUUAGUUUUUCUUCGCAAUAAUGUUGCACAAAGCGCCAGAUGCAUUUGGACUUGUGUCAGUUUCUUCUUCAUGAAGGUGUAGAUAGAAAGUAAGAAAAUAAGCAGACACUUAUUAAUUUUCUCUCUUGCGGCACCGUGUCUUGUGACAUACACUUGUGACAUAUUUUGGAAUUGGAAAAAGUAUAUGGAAUGUAUCGCAAGAUGUGCACACAUACAGUUACACCCAUAUGCGCACUAUACUUGUUUCUUUUGCUAUAUACAUAUGCGUAUUGUUUAAUAGAAACAUUUAUUAUCUGAAAGGAAAAAAUGUUCCUGCUGAUGCACAAAAGCGUAACCAUAUACUGAUAUAUCUAAACACUUAUGAUACUUGCCCUGCAGAAUGACAUAAUUUAGAGCAAAUACUUAAAUAAAGUGUUAUGCUUGCAGAUAUCCAAACUGUCGAAACGCAAUCUCUGCAAUAUACAAUUGUUGUAAAUAUAUGUAUGCAAAACAUAUAAUGGUGCAAGUUGGGGAAAAAAUGCUUUACGAUUUAGAACAGAUACAUUAGAAGCAAUUGUGCUAAGCAUUUAACGAAUAAAAUCAUUUAUAUAUUAUUUA
Molecule: long non-coding RNA, 1089 nt
Organism: Camponotus floridanus (Florida carpenter ant)
Lineage: Eukaryota; Metazoa; Arthropoda; Insecta; Hymenoptera; Formicidae
Exons: 5
Source: RefSeq, a predicted model, not a curated record